GUUGAACCCAACAUUCCCGUGCCCUGUUGACGCACCCCUCUACGGAGCCAAGAUCUGUUGGCACAGCCCUCUGCGGAGCCAUGCUAAGAACACCAUGAACUACAAAUUGAGGGAUGCAGUGUGCUGUAUCACCAGGAGGUGGCAGUGUUGUACUUAAAGAAGCACCACACAGGCUUAGGACUGAGAUCUCUUACAACUGUGGGAAAUCCACGGCCUGUUGCAUCACUGCAGACCCAGCAAAGCCAUUUGUGAUCAUUUGGUGCCACCUGCCUGCUUUACAGUAAGAAUCCACAGAACUUGCAGAGCCGUUCUAACUAGGACCCAAACUGGAGAAAACAAAACCAUACUCACACCAUGGGAAACUACAAAAGCAUGCCGACUGUAUCUCUGCGCCCCCAAAGCUUCAACACAGACUCCCAGGUGUCUGUGCCCCGAGGCAAAUGCCCUAACGCAGGAGUCUGUGCCCCAAGAACUGGAUUCAGAGGCCCUAAACAAGUUAUCUGUGUCCCCAAAGCCUGGUGCAGCGGUCCUAUCCCAGGUGUUUGUGCCCCAAAAGCCUGCUGCAGAUGCCCAGGUGUCUGCACCCCAAAAGCCUGCUUCAGAGGCCCUAACCCUGGUGUCUGUACCCCCAAAGCCCGGGGCAGAUGCCCUAACCCUGGUAUCUGCACCCCCAAAGUCCGGGGCAGAGGUCCUAACCUUUGUGUCUGGUGCAGAGGCCCUAACCUUUGUGUCUGUGGCCCCAAAGUCGGGUACAGAGGCCCUAACCCAUGUGUCUGCACCCCAAAGCCCGGGGCAGAGGCCCUAACUGAGGUGUCUGCAACCCCAAAACCCGGGGCAGAGGCCCUAACUGAGGUGUCUGCACCCCCAAAGCCCAAGGCAGAGGCCCUAACUGAGGUGUCUGUACCCCCAAAACUGAGUGCAGAGGCCCCUACCCAGGUGUCUGCACCCCCAAAGCUGUGUGCAGAGGCCCCAACCCGGGUGUGUACACCUCCAAAGCUGUGUGUAGAGGCCCCAACCCGGGUGUGUACACCUCCAAAGCUGUGUGCAGAGGCCCCAACCCCGGUGUGUACACCUCCAAAGCUGUGUGCAGAGCCCCCAACCUGGGUGUGUACACCUCCAAAGCUGUGUGCAGAGGCCCCAACCCGGGUGUGUACACCCCCAAAGCUGUGUGCAGAGGCCCCAACCCGGGUGUGUACACCUCCAAAGCUGUGUGCAGAGGCCCCAACCCGGGUGUGUACACCUCCAAAGCUGUGUGCAGAGGCCCCAACCCGGGUGUGUACACCUCCAAAGCUGUGUGCAGAGGCCCCAACCCCGGUGUGUACACCUCCAAAGCUGUGUGCAGAGCCCCCAACCUGGGUGUGUACACCUCCAAAGCUGUGUGCAGAGGCCCCAACCCCGGUGUGUACACCUCCAAAGCUGUGUGCAGAGGCCCCAACCCGGGUGUGUACACCUCCAAAGCUGUGUGCAGAGGUCCCAACCCGGGUGUGUGCAUCCCCGAAGCCUGGGGAAGAAACCAUAAUCUAGAUGCUGGUACCUGGAGAGGGCCUUAGACUGCUGAGGGUAGAUAGAUGUUCAGGGUAGUGCAGGGUAGAGUGGAAUGAGGGCUGUACCACCCAUUAUUGGCACUACAACAACCUGUGCAUGAUGCUCCGUUAUGGCAACCUGGGGAGGUGUCUGGGACAAGUUACCAGCAAUGGGCAUAGAAACACUGUGUGGCAAAACACACUUAGCAGGUGAAAUAAAUUGCAUUUUAAAUAGCC
Mus musculus (house mouse) is the source of this 1760-nucleotide long non-coding RNA. RefSeq annotates it as expressed sequence BB014433. The transcript is spliced from 2 exons. Lineage: Eukaryota; Metazoa; Chordata; Mammalia; Rodentia; Muridae. The record is from RefSeq and is marked validated.